AAGAUAGGAGGCAGCUGGAAACCUACUUGUCAGGAGCCCACUAGUUGCCAAAAGUCUUCACAAAUUGUUUCAAAGGAUCCUUUUAUUGGCCAUAGGUAGGUCUAUUAUCUUCACUUUAGAAAGUGGGACUCCAUGGGUCAGAGAAGCUAAGCAAUUUGCCUAAGGUCAUGUGGCAAAUAGAAGUAAGGCUGGAAGAGAACACUGUGUCUGAACAUAACAGAGCUCGAGAUAAACGUCUCACUCAGUAGGCCUCUCACCGUCAUCUCUCUUCACUGCCCUUCCACACAGACAGGAGAGGAGUAAUGGCCAUGGCUGCCCUGGGCCUCUCUCUGCAGGAUGCAGGCAGCUGCCGUCCGGUGGAAGCUCUAAGUUCAGAAAUAAAGGCCAUAACCUGCCGAGCGUAUUUGUAGUAAGAUGCCAUACAAAUUCAAGGAACCACCUGUGGGAGAAGGCUGACAUACAUAUUUAUUUCUUCCAACUAGACCUAUGGUGCAACACAUCCACUAAAUCUGUAAUCCAGAGCGUUUAUUUACUGUGUGUAGGUGUCACUUAGAAGCAGGCACCUUCAUUAAAAAAAAAAAAAAAACAAAAAUCAGGUUCGUCUCAUGGAAGAACAUUCUACAGACUGUGGACAGAGGAAGUCUUUUCUGUUACCAGAGAGCAAGCCCAUGCACCGAACGGACCACUCUUGCUCUCUUGUAGUCUCAUCCUUGAGCAGGAAAGCAGAGCUGUAUCACAUGUGAAUCUGAAGGACAAAAGCAGCCCUGGAGACGCCAAGCAAUAGUCUAUGUUACAGGUUUAACACACUCCUUUAAUUUCAUUGGAAAAAAAUAAUGAACCCGGAGAAAAGUAUUUAUGGAACUGGAGGAGAGCAUAUUUUGCUGGUUUUACUUUAUGUUUGAAGUUUUGGGGAUAGCUCUGCCCAUAAAUACUGAAAUGCCUAGCAUAAAGAACGCAGCCUGGGGCAUACCCCAUAAAACGUACAGUGCAAUUAAAUGAGCAAUUUCCACUGGAAAUAAAACGGGCAUGUUGAGCGGAAUAUGAAUUAAACUAUGCAUAGGACUUGGGCUCGUGCUAGGAAUCUGCUGGGUUCGGUAGCAGCUGAUGCAGUCCAUCUAUAGGUCAAGGCCAGAAAGUAAG
RNAcentral lists this long non-coding RNA (1140 nucleotides) under Canis lupus familiaris (dog). Its description in RNAcentral is "lncRNA (ENSCAFG00000058453.1)". Lineage: Eukaryota; Metazoa; Chordata; Mammalia; Carnivora; Canidae. The record is from RNAcentral.